Molecule: small RNA, 595 nt
Filed under: Rattus norvegicus (Norway rat)
Lineage: Eukaryota; Metazoa; Chordata; Mammalia; Rodentia; Muridae
Description: uncharacterized LOC102551152
Source: RNAcentral
UCCCUCCCUUCUCUGUGGGGUGACUGUUUGCGAUUCAGUGCGUGCGUUGUUGUGGGACUGAUAGCGAAUGGAAAUCUUUAGGGACUUGUUGAAGACGAGCCUUUGCAGAAAUGUGAGGUUCUCAAGAAUCUUGAAACAAGCGCGUAACAGGGUAGAAAGGAAAAAUCUGUGUUUAUGAAUUUGAGCCUUCAAUUCAAGAGUUAUUUCCACUUGUGUUCAUGAAUGAACCGUCCAAUAAAAGUCACGUGGUAAGGGCAGUUGCGACGGAAGUGCAGGUGAGAAGCCCGGAAGCAAGGUCCCUACCACACAGCAUGAACAGAGAGAACCCAGAAUGGCAGCUUUGCAACCUGAAGCCCCAGCUUGAACCUGGGCAACAAAAUGGCUGGCUGCCAAGAGGUUAAUUAUCCUAACUUCCUGCAGAGGGAAUCUUCAAUGAACACAGGCUGUAUGACAGAGAUCAGAGAAACACUACUGAGGUGGUGGGCAAGUAAAGGGUUAUAUCAACUCCCAAUGCUCAGCUACAGUUGAACAACUUACGAGAGCCACAUGGGCAAAGGGCAGUGUAAAGGCCGUUGGUCCUCAGAAAAUAUCCAAU